Paramacrobiotus metropolitanus is the source of this 1018-nucleotide long non-coding RNA. RefSeq lists it as uncharacterized. NCBI's taxonomy places the organism in Eukaryota, Metazoa, Tardigrada, Eutardigrada, Parachela, Macrobiotidae. The record is from RefSeq and is a predicted model, not a curated record. The transcript has 6 exons.
UUAGCUAUUAACUUGUCCCGCCACUGAAAUGGGACAUAUAUGCGUGGGCACUGCCCGUCAUGAUCAGGGACGCGGCAAAUCAAGCCUUCAAACAACUCAACAUCUCUGAAUUCCUUUUCCGUCGGGAAUCUGUCCUUGUCCUGCGGCCGGGUUAACGGCAUCAUCCAUUUCAUCAAUUCUGGAUUUCGCGCCAAGCGGUGCGGGUAUUCCCGUUCGUGCACUUCGUCAACGUGCUGGUGAUUGAAGUCAAUCGGAAACCCGGCGAAUGUGUACUGUUCAUCCGGUACCAUUCUCAAUAAUGCUGCCAAUGUGGAAAGUGAUUUUACCGGAGGUUUAUUGUCACCCCCACAAACUUGACUGGGAUCUAUUGCAAGACAUCGUCCACCUUUAAUUGCCGUUUCAUUUGGAUUAUUCACGCACCGUGACGGUAGCGGAAACUGUUCACUUUCCUUUCUAAUUCGUUCCUCCUGGAAGUUUUGCUGUGGCACACCACCUCCCCCACAAACUUGACUUGGACCGGAGGUUACUUCCAUUGUCGCUUCCUCCAGGAAUUCUUUGUCACGUUUGUCUGAGCCCGGCAACAAUGGCUUCGGUGCCGGCGACGGCGUCGACACAACCGUACGUACUGGAUUCUCCAGUUUUGUAGGGCGCGGCCACUCUUCUUUUGCCCGUUGUAAAUGCAUAAGGCAUAUUUCCGGUUUCGCUUUUGCAAGUAUCAGUCAACAUCAGCGCCGGUAUCGACGGCGACUGCUUAACUCCUGGCGGCAGCAAUGGGUCAAAAUGAUGUGACCGUAUGAUGUCCGCCAUAUGAUGCAUUCGGCGCGGAUACCAAUCCGGUGCAGUGGGAUGACGACGAAAUCAAGACCGAGCACAAUGUGAUCCCGAUCAAACAUGGUGCUGACCAGUAAGGCGUGUUCAAACGCUGUUCCGAACUCGUGUAUGGUGACUACCACCGACAUCGGCUCAAUUACUUGGCGCCCUUGAUACGCCGUGUGCACCACUCUUCCCUGAAUGUGAU